RNAcentral lists this ribosomal RNA (940 nucleotides) under uncultured bacterium. RNAcentral describes it as "bacterial SSU rRNA". It matches the Rfam family "Bacterial small subunit ribosomal RNA", at positions 8 to 943 of the family's 1533-position model. The record is from RNAcentral.
AGAGUUUGAUCCUGGCUCAGAUUGAACGCUGGCGGCAUGCCUUACACAUGCAAGUCGAACGGCAGCACGGGAGCUUGCUCCUGGUGGCGAGUGGCGAACGGGUGAGUAAUAUAUCGGAACGUACCCUAGAGUGGGGGAUAACGCAGCGAAAGUUGCGCUAAUACCGCAUACGAUCUACGAAUGAAAGUGGGGGAUCGCAAGACCUCAUGCUCAUGGAGCGGCCGAUAUCUGAUUAGCUAGUUGGUGGGGUAAAGGCCUACCAAGGCAUCGAUCAGUAGCUGGUCUGAGAGGACGACCAGCCACACUGGAACUGAGACACGGUCCAGACUCCUACGGGAGGCAGCAGUGGGGAAUUUUGGACAAUGGGGGCAACCCUGAUCCAGCAAUGCCGCGUGAGUGAAGAAGGCCUUCGGGUUGUAAAGCUCUUUUGUCAGGGAAGAAACGGUGAGGGCUAAUAUCCUUUGCUAAUGACGGUACCUGAAGAAUAAGCACCGGCUAACUACGUGCCAGCAGCCGCGGUAAUACGUAGGGUGCAAGCGUUAAUCGGAAUUACUGGGCGUAAAGCGUGCGCAGGCGGUUAUGUAAGUCAGAUGUGAAAUCCCCGGGCUCAACCUGGGAAUGGCAUUUGAGACUGCAUGGCUAGAGUGUGUCAGAGGGGGGUAGAAUUCCACGUGUAGCAGUGAAAUGCGUAGAGAUGUGGAGGAAUACCGAUGGCGAAGGCAGCCCCCUGGGAUAACACUGACGCUCAUGCACGAAAGCGUGGGGAGCAAACGGGAUUAGAUACCCUGGUAGUCCACGCCCUAAACCUAUAUGGUAGUUGUCGGGACUUAAUUGUCUUGGUAACGCAGCUAACGCGUGAAGUAGACCGCCUGGGGAGUACGGUCGCAAGAUUAAAACUCAAAGGAAUUGACGGGGACCCGCACAAGCGGUGGAUGAUGUG